UUGCUUAACCUAUAAUAAGAAACAUGUUACUAGGAAUCAAUGUAUAAUAUACGAUAGUUUUCAAAUACAUUAUAAUUAAAUUUAUUUUUAAUACUUAAAACAAAUUUUAUUAUAGAAAAAGAUAGAAAUAUUAAUCAUAUGUUAACUAUAUUUUUAUUUAAAAAUCAUAAUAUAAAUAAUUACGUUAUAUUUCAUUUAUUUUAUCUUAAAAUUAAAAAAAUUAAAAAAAUGGAUGUUAAUAAGGCAAAGUUAUCAAAAAGUAUUUUAGAAAUGAAAUUUAUGAAACGUACUAAAGAAAAAGUAGAGAAACAACAAUUUCAAGAAGAGGGAGAAGAAUAUUUUGGAAAUGAAUUAACAAAACGUAUGAAGAAAGAUUCGUAA
Molecule: long non-coding RNA, 381 nt
Organism: Apis dorsata (giant honeybee)
Lineage: Eukaryota; Metazoa; Arthropoda; Insecta; Hymenoptera; Apidae
Exons: 2
Source: RefSeq, a predicted model, not a curated record